This 320-nucleotide ribosomal RNA is filed under the name uncultured bacterium. Its description in RNAcentral is "bacterial SSU rRNA". It matches the Rfam family "Bacterial small subunit ribosomal RNA", at positions 29 to 334 of the family's 1533-position model. The record is from RNAcentral.
AACGAACGCUGGCGGUACGCUUAAUACAUGCAAGUCGAACGAGAAAGCACUUUCGGGUGUGAGUACAGUGGCGCACGGGUGAGUAACACGUAGGUGACCUACCCUUUAGUUUGGGAUAACAGGAAGAAGUUCCUGCUAAUACCAGAUGAGUAAGACAAUUUUAGAAGUAGUCUUAGAAAGAUGGCCUCUCUACGAUGCCGUCGCUGAAGGAAGGGCCUGCGGGGCAUUAGCUUGUUGGUGGGGUAAUGGCCUACCAAGGCUCUGAUGCCUGACCGGUCUGAGAGGAUGAUCGGCCACACUGGAACUGAGACACGGUCCAG